CCCGCCUGCCCUGUGACUCUAAGUUUAACGGCCGCGGUAUUUUGACCGUGCGAAGGUAGCGUAAUCACUUGUCUUUUAAAUGAAGACCCGUAUGAAUGGCACAACGAGGGCUUGACUGUCUCCUUCUCUUCGUCAAUGAAAUUGAUCUUCCCGUGCAGAAGCGGGAAUAAAAACAUAAGACGAGAAGACCCUAUGGAGCUUUAGACAAAAGGCAGACUACGUUAAGACCCCUAAAUCACAGGAUUAAACACAGUACCCCCUAGCCAACAUGUCUUUGGUUGGGGCGACCGCGGGGGAAAACAAAGCCCCCAUGUGGACUGGGAAAACCUUUCCCACAGCCAAGAGCUACAACUCUAAGCAACAGAAUUUCUGACCAAUAUGAUCCGGCAAAUGCCGAUCAACGGACCAAGUUACCCUAGGGAUAACAGCGCAAUCCCCUCCCAGAGUCCCUAUCGACAAGGGGGUUUACGACCUCGAUGUUGGAUCAGGACAUCCUAAUGGUGCAACCGCUAUUAAGGGUUCGUUUGUUCAACGA
Molecule: ribosomal RNA, 535 nt
Filed under: Nansenia candida (bluethroat argentine)
Lineage: Eukaryota; Metazoa; Chordata; Actinopteri; Argentiniformes; Microstomatidae
Description: partial 16S ribosomal RNA
Rfam family: Bacterial large subunit ribosomal RNA
Source: RNAcentral